UCGGGAAUCUUCCGCAAUGGGCGAAAGCCUGACGGAGCGACACCGCGUGAGGGAUGAAUGCCUUCGGGUUGUAAACCUCGUUAUAAGCACCGGCUAACUACGUGCCAGCAGCAGCGGUCAUACGUAGGGUGCGAGCAUUACCCGGUCUUACUGGGCGUAAAGAGUUCUGUAGGCGGAUAUAUAAGUUGGGGGUCAAAUACCUCGGCCCAACCGAGGGAAGGCUCUCAAUACUGUUUAUCUAUGAGGUGACUAGGGGAUAGCGGAACGUAUGGUGUAGCAGUGAAAUGCGUUGAUAUCAUACGGAACACCAAGGGGGAAGCCAGCUAUCUGGGGUUAACCUGACGCUGAGAGACGAAAGCGUGGGGAGCGAAACGG
Molecule: ribosomal RNA, 375 nt
Filed under: uncultured bacterium
Lineage: Bacteria
Description: bacterial SSU rRNA
Rfam family: Bacterial small subunit ribosomal RNA
Source: RNAcentral